RNAcentral lists this ribosomal RNA (253 nucleotides) under uncultured bacterium. RNAcentral describes it as "partial 16S ribosomal RNA". It matches the Rfam family "Bacterial small subunit ribosomal RNA", at positions 524 to 776 of the family's 1533-position model. The record is from RNAcentral.
UACGGAGGGGGCUAGCGUUAUCCGGAUUUACUGGGUUUAAAGGGUGCGCAGGCGGAUAUGUAAGUCAGUGGUGAAAUCUCUAGGCCUAACCUGGAAAUUGCCGUUGAUACUAUAUAUCUUGAAUGCUGUGGAGGUAAGCGGAAUAUGUCAUGUAGCGGUGAAAUGCUUAGAUAUGACAUAGAACACCUAUUGCGAAGGCAGCUUACUACGCAGAUAUUGACGCUCAUGCACGAAAGCGUGGGGAUCAAACAGG